Pogoniulus pusillus (Red-fronted tinkerbird) is the source of this 503-nucleotide long non-coding RNA. RefSeq lists it as uncharacterized. The transcript is spliced from 3 exons. NCBI's taxonomy places the organism in Eukaryota, Metazoa, Chordata, Aves, Piciformes, Lybiidae. The record is from RefSeq and is a predicted model, not a curated record.
GGCAUCCUGCUCCGUGUGCAGCUCGUCCCGGAUCAGCAGCAGCUGCACCAGCUCCUCGUUCAAGCCUGGCACCAAGGAGAGAGGAGAUGCUUUCUGUUUGGCAAUGGAGGUGCCCCCAGCCCCAAGCCUGCAUCAAGGAUUCCACUGGGACUAUCAUGCUGAGCUGAAACUGCACAAGGUUGGAGCCAAGCCUUCAGAUCUGACAGCAUCAGCCACAUGCUGCUGGAAAGCCCUCCCCGGCCGGUGCCGCUGCUUUCCUGAUGACGUCGCCCAUGCCAUCACCCUCCCGACUCAUCUCCUUCGCUCCCAGCGCCUCACGUGGGCAGGGAAGAGCUCCCGUGGGGGCAUCUUAGGCCUUCCUCUGCUCUUCCAGUGCCAUCCGUGGGAUCAAAGGCUUCUUCCCGGAGCCAAGACCUCCAGCAACCUGCUGUCCUCUCGGCUGAUGAGGCUGCUGCAACACCUCCAGCCACUCACUUUCACGACCCCCCCUGCUCUCUGCUUCC